Protopterus annectens (West African lungfish) is the source of this 152-nucleotide long non-coding RNA. RefSeq lists it as uncharacterized. The record is from RefSeq and is a predicted model, not a curated record. NCBI's taxonomy places the organism in Eukaryota, Metazoa, Chordata, Ceratodontiformes, Protopteridae. The transcript has 3 exons.
AUGGUGAUCCUGCUCAGUACGAGAGGAACCGCAGGUUCAGACAUUUGGUGUAUGUGCUUGGCUGAGGAGCCAAUGGUGCGAAGCUACCAUCUGUGGGAUUAUGACUGAACGCCUCUUAAGUCAGAAUCCCGCCUAAACGUAAGAGAGUGUCU